This 536-nucleotide ribosomal RNA is filed under the name Nakaseomyces glabratus. RNAcentral describes it as "partial large subunit ribosomal RNA". It matches the Rfam family "Eukaryotic large subunit ribosomal RNA", at positions 114 to 655 of the family's 3401-position model. The record is from RNAcentral. Lineage: Eukaryota; Fungi; Ascomycota; Saccharomycetes; Saccharomycetales; Saccharomycetaceae.
UUUGAAAUCUGGUACCUUUGGUGCCCGAGUUGUAAUUUGGAGAGUACCACUUUGGGACUGUACUUUGCCUAUGUUCCUUGGAACAGGACGUCAUGGAGGGUGAGAAUCCCGUGUGGCGAGGGUGUCAGUUCUUUGUAAAGGGUGCUCGAAGAGUCGAGUUGUUUGGGAAUGCAGCUCUAAGUGGGUGGUAAAUUCCAUCUAAAGCUAAAUACAGGCGAGAGACCGAUAGCGAACAAGUACAGUGAUGGAAAGAUGAAAAGAACUUUGAAAAGAGAGUGAAAAAGUACGUGAAAUUGUUGAAAGGGAAGGGCAUUUGAUCAGACAUGGUGUUUUGCGCCCCUUGCCUCUCGUGGGCUUGGGACUCUCGCAGCUCACUGGGCCAGCAUCGGUUUUGGCGGCCGGAAAAAACCUAGGGAAUGUGGCUCUGCGCCUCGGUGUAGAGUGUUAUAGCCCUGGGGAAUACGGCCAGCCGGGACCGAGGACUGCGAUACUUGUUAUCUAGGAUGCUGGCAUAAUGGUUAUAUGCCGCCCGUCUU